This is a long non-coding RNA of Cyprinus carpio carpio, 1059 nucleotides long. The record is from Ensembl. NCBI's taxonomy places the organism in Eukaryota, Metazoa, Chordata, Actinopteri, Cypriniformes, Cyprinidae.
AUGAUGAUGCCGCGUCGGGAGACAGAUAGCUCGCGAGCGUCUGUUCUACCCGGGGCAUCACCUUAUAUCCAUACUCAUCUAAUUGUGCCACAUUGCCAUAAUAAUUGGAGGUGGGGACAAAUAAACGGGACGAGAAUGGUUUCGCCCACGAUCUCGACACCUCGGCUUUUUUCUCGGCGGGCCAAUCGAUGUUUAACUUGGCUACCGCGUGAGUUAUCACCUCCAACAACUCCUCAUACUGUGGUGACUGACAGGGCGAUUCAUCGACGCUCUCCUCAUCCACCUCCUCGGAGGCAGACAGGCGGAGCGCCGCGUCCGCUUCCCGGGGGGAAGUAGCGCCGAAGCACGCUUCCGAUCCCAGAGAGCGAACGCUGGAUCUGGCAGGUGAGGACGAAGAUAGGGACUCGCCCGUCUGCAUUCCCUCUACCAGAUCCAAUUGCGAUCCCCACGAGUGCAGCUGCCGCUCUGCCUCGGCGAAAGCGGGGCCAGCACCGCGAGGAACGCUCGAGAAAGCUCCCUCCUCAAAGAGAGCCCUCCGAGAGCGAAGCGUACGCAGGGGAAGCUGUUCACAGUGCGGACAGUCGGCUCCCUCGAGAGCCGACUCUGCGUGCUCCGCUCCCAAGCAGACCACGCACAAACUGUGUGUAUCCCCGCUCGUGAUGUAGCGAGAGCAGGGAGGAACACACAGCUUGAAACGCGAUCCACUUUCGCCCAAAUGCUUUGUCUUACUAUCAGCCUUUCUUGCCAUGUUUUGCUUGUGCAACUUUCUAAGACAGACAACAGUAAAUAAGACUGACAGACACGUAAUGGUAACUGACACACACAGAGCUUCGCUGAAUGACAGAAAGCUGAUGCUCGUUCCACCUCACGUGCUUUUAUAGCUUCCUGGUCGCUACGUCACCCGCCUAUGACGUCACGCCCAUUCAUGGGACUGAUUACACAUGUUAUUCAGAGCUGGUCACGCUGAAGGGCGUUCCCAUAGCGUUUUUCCGACGCAGCUCGAGUUCCUGAAGGGGAACUUUCUUUCUGUUACUAUUAGGUACUAUUUGAACAUUGCUG